RNAcentral lists this long non-coding RNA (1807 nucleotides) under Nicotiana benthamiana. Its description in RNAcentral is "long non-coding RNA (NBEN_LNC017454)". The record is from RNAcentral. Lineage: Eukaryota; Viridiplantae; Streptophyta; Magnoliopsida; Solanales; Solanaceae.
AUAAGUUGGCAUAAAAUUCCCAACUUAUGAAGGGCUGGAAAAAACUUAAGAAUAAGGUUAGCGACCUCUUACAAUAGCGAAUAAGCAUGUCAUCUGUUGUACAAAGAAAAUUCUCUCUUACCUUGUUACUGGUUUUUACCAAGUCAUUUCAACUGAUGAUGAUCUUCGGUUUCUUCCCGUUUCUCCUAGCUGUUAAUUCGUCUUCAUUAAAGGUGCUACAGAAGAGGAAUAAGGACGUAAACCAGGUGAACUAUAUGAUAGAAGAUUUCAACAAGUGUUGACAUUAGAAUCAGAUCAAGACUUGCUGGUAGGCUAUUUUAAUCAAUUGUUCAACUCUAAUCACGAGGUAACGUCACAGAUCUCCGUACAUGUUUGGACGGUAAAAAAUACGCUGACAGAAGUAACGGAUCCAUAAAAAUUAGAGGUUUAUAAAAGUUUGUGGCCAAGAUGGCAUCCACAUAUUGUUUUCAUGUAGAUGUUUGGAAGUGUCCUGAAAAGGUGAAAAGGUGUAAUAAUAUGGCUUACCAAGUUAUUUAAUGUUAUAUUAAAAGUCGUAGAAUGUCUCACAAGUGAAGAAAUAUCCAAUAUAUGAGAACUAACAAUAAAGAAGAUAUUCAAAAUCGUGUGUGAACUAUCACGAUAUUAAGCUUAUGAGUCAUACAAUGAAACUUUGGUAAAGAGUGAUAGAGCGUAGAUUUAAGACACCACAAGAGUGAUAGAGAACCAAUUUGGUUCUUUUGGUUUUGUGCCCAGUAGAACAGAGGCUAUGUUCUUGUUAAGAAGAUUAAUGUUUUUUUUGUCAAUGGGCAUGCGAAGAACAUGUUGGUUGAUGAGAAGCAACAAUUUGUGCUGCCAUUUGUCAGGUGUUUGUCAUGGUUGUGACUAUCACAUUCAGCAUGAGAACUGUAGCCGUUAUUUACUUUUAGUGAUUGGAGUGCUUAUUCACGAUACACUUGUUUCUCUUCUUCCCUGUAGUUCCUGAUAAGGGAGAAAUCACUUGGUCAAACUGCUGAAUUGUCCUCCUCUAAACACUACUCUCCAGCCUGUCAGAUCACAUGCAAAGGUCUGAUCUCUGGCUGAAAGAUACUUUAUUGGGAUGAAAAUUGUAAAAUAUCUUUCAGAUUACAUGGGGACGAAGCAUCUUGAUCAUGCGUAAUAAAUCUUGACAGAUAUCAAAUACGUGUGGCCUUUCAAAUUGAUUUGAAAGCAAUUAGUAUGAUUCCACCUGAGAAUAUUAUGGCUUUAAAAGGAAUUAGUCAAGCUUCUCAGAAGUUGUUUACAUGUCUUGUGAAGUUGUGUUCUGCGGGUAGUAAAUAUCGUCUCUUUUGCAUCGUAACGGUGAAUGCAUUAAAGAUACCUUGCUGGAUCUGCAGUUGCAGGAAUCUUUAAGGAUGUCAUGUUAAAAGUUUGAUACCAAAUAUGGAUUGGCAUGAGAAUCUGUAUCAUGUAACAGAUUAUCCAAGUUGUAAAAUGCUUAUCAGUGGAGCUUAUGAUGUGCCAGAUAAAAUGUCUCUUCUGCAUCCUAAAGCUGAAUGCGUUAUAACCUAUAUUAAUUUAAUCUUCUUUAGAUGUGAGAUAAUUUUUCGUCUGCAUCUCUGCUUCUUUUCCAUUCUCAUCUCUCUUUGAAGGGGAGCCUUGGAGCAACGGUAAAGUUGCUUUGUGUGACCUAUAAGUCACGGGUUCACACCGUGGAAGCAGCCACUAAUGCUUGCAUUAGGGUAGGCUGUCUACCUAACACCCCGUUGCGGCCCUUUUUUGGACCCUGCAUGAAUACGGGAUGCUUUGUGCAUCGGCGGCUCUUUUUUCC